UAUCGCGUAGUUUAGUUAGUUCCGAAUUCAGUUAAAUUAUAAUGUGGAACCGCUGGAAUAUCGAUCUUGUAGAAACAACAAAUUGGUUCCUCAAAGACCAUAAAGGCAUACCAAACUUACAGGAGUCGUCAAAAGUUUUUGGAAAAAUAACUAUAUGUACAUCUGUAUGUAUGUACAUAUGCAUGUGUUUACCUAAUGGCAUGAAAUCAUUGACUAUUAACACAUUUAAAGAGGGCCUAUUGGAACCUGCGUUUUAAACACCAAACGUUUAACUUUUAUACUACGGGCCGGCGAACGGACAUGGGCACAUCGUCUCUGCUAUUGGGACUGAUAACUUAUAUAUGGUCGGAAAAACUGUCUUCCUUUUUUCAACGAAUCUCUAGUUUACCUAUUUUCCAUUAAAAUUAUUUCCCAUUUACGACCCUGCGACACGGAUUACUUACGAAAUACGUACAAUGAUGAAAUUUUAAUUUACAUACAUAUGUAUGUAUUUUAUG
Molecule: long non-coding RNA, 497 nt
Organism: Drosophila mauritiana
Lineage: Eukaryota; Metazoa; Arthropoda; Insecta; Diptera; Drosophilidae
Exons: 3
Source: RefSeq, a predicted model, not a curated record